UCGUGAAUCGUAAUCAAAAAGACUUUUAACGAGUAAAAAAGAAGUAGCAAAACAGAAAAAAAGUCUUUAUAAUCAUUUAUAUUCUGGGUCUUAACAAAAAAUUGAUAGCACACUAGCGUCUUCAUCGACGGAAUCGUGGAAAAUAGGUCGGCGGUAAGUGGAAUGGGACGUGAUGCUGAAUUGUUUAAUGUAUUAUUCUGCAUGUGGACUUGGACCUGUUCCACUGGCAUUAAAAUCCAUAAACGGCGAAUUACAGAAAGGACUGUGAGGGUAUAUGUGCUUAGAGUGUAGUAAAAUUUACUGCCAGUUGGUAAACAAUGCUUGGUAUGGUUAAACCCACACAGUCUAAGACAAUGGAAAAAUGGACCUGGAAAAGUGGAAUACCAUGCUUUGUUGUCAACACAAAACUUGAAACAGCAAUGGUGGGCAGCCUGGGUGGACCAUCCCGUGUAAACAAUAUGUUGUCCACAUUAAACCUAAAAAAAUAUCGGACACCAACUUAAAAAUAAUGGAACAGCCAGCUGGUGAGGUGAAAGAGCAAGUUGCAACUGAAUAAGCUAGGAUUGCUUUCUCAAAUGAAAUAACUUGAAGGAAGGGAACUCCUGCAGGUUACUCAUAUGCAUCGGUGGAAGUCCAGUCUGGUAGUCAGUUCGCAGCAUACGUCACGCCAACUGUUCCAAUAACUAAAGAGGCUUUACAAGUUACAGGCAUUUCAUUGACUGAUGGGACAAUGACAUUCAUUGGAUAAAUUGUGCUGCUAGU
Molecule: long non-coding RNA, 762 nt
Organism: Dreissena polymorpha
Lineage: Eukaryota; Metazoa; Mollusca; Bivalvia; Myida; Dreissenidae
Exons: 3
Source: RefSeq, a predicted model, not a curated record